GGAAGGAUCAUUAUUGAAUAAACAUGACAGGCUGUUGCUGGCUCUUCUGCAUGUGCACGCUUGUUGUCUUUAUUUCUCCACCUUGUGCAUCAUUUGUAGGCCCUAGAGAAAUAAUGAUUAUUUGGUCAGUCCAGAUAGGUUGAGGACUGCUGUGCAUCUUUCAUGAAGGGCAUCAGCUUUGCCUUGUCUCUAGGUUCUAUGUAGUCCAUGUACACCUAUGAAUGUGAAAGAAUGUUGAUCUGGGCCUUUAGUGCCCAUAAAGGUUAUAAUUACAACUUUCAGCAACGGAUCUCUUGGCUCUCGCAUCGAUGAAGAACGCAGCGAAAUGCGAUAAGUAAUGUGAAUUGCAGAAUUCAGUGAAUCAUCGAAUUUUUGAACGCAUCUUGCGCUCCUUGGUAUUCUGAGGAGCAUGCCUGUUUGAGUGUCAUUAAAAUCUCAACUAUGCUGGUGUUUCUGGUGUAGCUUGGAUUUGGGAGAUGAGGAAUACUAUUUGUAGUAUUCCUCUUGCAGGCUUUUUAUAGUUGAAGUCAGCUCUUCUGAAAUUUAUUAGUGGUGCCUUAGUAAGAACUGUCUACAGGUGUGAUAAUUUUCUGCGCCUUAGAUGUCUGAAUGCAUACGGCCAAUACUGCUUAUAACUUAUGAUGACAAUCUUGACCUCAAAUCAGUAGGACUACCCGCUGAACUUAAGCAUAUCAAUAAGCGGAGGAAAAGAAACUAACAAGGAUUCCCUUAGUAACUGCGAGUGAAGUGGGAUAAGCUCAAAUUUAAAAUCUGGCAGUCAUUGGCUGUCCGAGUUGUAAUCUAGAGAAGUGUUACCCGUGCUGGACCAUGUACAAGUCUCCUGGAAUGGAGCAUCACAGAGGGUGAGAAUCCCGUCUUUGACAUGGACUG
This 891-nucleotide ribosomal RNA is filed under the name uncultured fungus. RNAcentral describes it as "eukaryotic LSU rRNA". The stretch from base 652 to 891 matches the Rfam family "Eukaryotic large subunit ribosomal RNA", at positions 1 to 237 of the family's 3401-position model. The record is from RNAcentral. Lineage: Eukaryota; Fungi.